AGCAGCCGCGGUAAUUCCAGCUCCAAUAGCGUAUAUUAAAGUUGUUGCAGUUAAAAGCUCGUAGUUGAAUUUCGGGAUCAAUAUAUCGGUCGUGCCUUUGGUACGUACUGGUAUCAUUGAUUUCUCCUUUCUGACGAAUCAUGAUGUCAUUAAUUUGGUGUUAUGAGGAGUUAGGACUGUUACUUUGAAAAAAUUGAGUGUUUAAAGCAGGCAUUAGCUUGAAUACAUUAGCAUGGAAUAAUGAAAUAGGACGUUUGACCCUAUUUUGUUGGUUUUUAGGAUCGACGUAAUGAUUAAUAGGGAUAGUUGGGGGCAUUAGUAUUCAAUUGUCAGAGGUGAAAUUCUUGGAUUUAUUGAAGACUAACUACUGCGAAAGCAUUUGCCAAGGAUGUUUUCAUUAAUCAAGAACGAAAGUUAGGGAUCGAAGACGAUCAGAUACCGUCGUAGUCUUAACCAUAAACUAUGCCGACUAGGGAUCGGGAUGAUGUUAAUUUUAUAAUUGACUCAUUCGGCUACCG
This 518-nucleotide ribosomal RNA is filed under the name uncultured Glomeraceae. Its description in RNAcentral is "SSU rRNA". It matches the Rfam family "Eukaryotic small subunit ribosomal RNA", at positions 569 to 1089 of the family's 1831-position model. Lineage: Eukaryota; Fungi; Glomeromycota; Glomeromycetes; Glomerales; Glomeraceae. The record is from RNAcentral.